RNAcentral lists this ribosomal RNA (632 nucleotides) under Marinobacter sp. RNAcentral describes it as "bacterial SSU rRNA". It matches the Rfam family "Bacterial small subunit ribosomal RNA", at positions 60 to 684 of the family's 1533-position model. Lineage: Bacteria; Pseudomonadati; Pseudomonadota; Gammaproteobacteria; Pseudomonadales; Marinobacteraceae. The record is from RNAcentral.
AGUCGAGCGGAACGAUGGUAGCUUGCUACCAGGCGUCGAGCGGCGGACGGGUGAGUAAUGCUUAGGAAUCUGCCCAGUAGUGGGGGAUAGCCCGGGGAAACCCGGAUUAAUACCGCAUACGCCCUUUUGGGGAAAGCAGGGGAUCUUCGGACCUUGCGCUAUUGGAUGAGCCUAAGUCGGAUUAGCUAGUUGGUGGGGUAAAGGCUCACCAAGGCGACGAUCCGUAGCUGGUCUGAGAGGAUGAUCAGCCACAUCGGGACUGAGACACGGCCCGAACUCCUACGGGAGGCAGCAGUGGGGAAUAUUGGACAAUGGGGGCAACCCUGAUCCAGCCAUGCCGCGUGUGUGAAGAAGGCUUUCGGGUUGUAAAGCACUUUCAGUGAGGAGGAAGGCCUUAAGAUUAAUACUCUUAAGGAUUGACGUCACUCACAGAAGAAGCACCGGCUAACUCCGUGCCAGCAGCCGCGGUAAUACGGAGGGUGCAAGCGUUAAUCGGAAUUACUGGGCGUAAAGCGCGCGUAGGUGGUUGAGUAAGCGAGAUGUGAAAGCCCCGGGCUUAACCUGGGAACGGCAUUUCGAACUGCUCGACUAGAGUGUGGUAGAGGGUAGUGGAAUUUCCUGUGUAGCGGUGA